Molecule: long non-coding RNA, 332 nt
Filed under: Gossypium raimondii (Peruvian cotton)
Lineage: Eukaryota; Viridiplantae; Streptophyta; Magnoliopsida; Malvales; Malvaceae
Description: long non-coding RNA (GRAI_LNC009151)
Source: RNAcentral
CUGCUUAGGGUUUCAUUUUUUCUUUUUUUUGGCUAGGGUUUAGUUGGGUUAGUUGGGCUGUUUUGGGUAUUAGGCUAAUGGGUUAAUAAUGGCUUGGUAUUGGGUUUUUGUAAUUUGGAUAUUAAUUAGGCUUUAUUUAUUUUUGUUUGGUUUUAUUUUUUUUUGUUUCUGUGGGCCUGGGCUAAAAUUUGGGUUCUACAGCUACCCCUUUUUGCUCAUUGUCUUGCAACGGGAAUGAAACAAAGACUUUAAUAGGGACAAAUUUCCCCGGUCUUACCGAGUAUUGACUUCUUUUGGUGAGUAGCUUCACUCCAACCGACUGUGUCUUCAAG